RNAcentral lists this long non-coding RNA (238 nucleotides) under Zostera marina. Its description in RNAcentral is "long non-coding RNA (ZMAR_LNC000045)". The record is from RNAcentral. Lineage: Eukaryota; Viridiplantae; Streptophyta; Magnoliopsida; Alismatales; Zosteraceae.
CUCUGUGUUUGGCCACUCUGAGGAGAGAUGUUUUGUGAUCCAUGGCUAUCCUGAGAAUUUUAAAAAUCCUAAGGGUUCUCAAUCUUCAAAUCCACCUCAGAAAUCCAAUGAACCUACCUCCCAAGCCAAAGCCUCUGCUCAUUGUGUCAGUUCUAGUCAAACUUGGGCCUCUUGGGGUAAGGAUGAAGUCAAAAGGAGUGAACCAGAGUCAACUGCACCAGUGGGACCACAUGGCAUG